This 233-nucleotide long non-coding RNA is filed under the name Capsella rubella. Its description in RNAcentral is "long non-coding RNA (CRUB_LNC003301)". Lineage: Eukaryota; Viridiplantae; Streptophyta; Magnoliopsida; Brassicales; Brassicaceae. The record is from RNAcentral.
UAGCUCGGUGGCUCGCCGGAGAAGGGACCCAAGUACUUGACUCGGUCAGAUCCGUACCAUGGGCUGCCUGAUGGACCCUUAGGCUUGGCAACAGUCUUCCUCAUGGUCACACGGCCGGUUCCGAGGACAUCUGAUGCUGCGGGCUUCACAGCCUUUCCAGCGAAGGCAGGGGAGGACAGAGCCAUGGUUGAGGAAGCCAUUAGAAUCUUUCUUCGUUCUUCUUUUUCUUUUCU